Camelina sativa (false flax) is the source of this 345-nucleotide non-coding RNA. NCBI's taxonomy places the organism in Eukaryota, Viridiplantae, Streptophyta, Magnoliopsida, Brassicales, Brassicaceae. The record is from RefSeq and is a predicted model, not a curated record.
GCUCCUGAUUUCAUAAAUUUAGGGUUUCCAAGAAUUCUCAUUUCUCUCUUGCCGACUCUACCUAAAAGACUCUCUCUCUCAUCACUCUCGCUCAUCUUUCUCUUAAUUAGAGGCACAAAUCAUUCAAAAAGCAUACACAAAAAGAAAGAAGGAGAAUGGUGAGGGGAAAGACAGAGAUGAAGCGGAUAGAGAACGCAACGAGCAGGCAGGUGACUUUCUCCAAGAGAAGAAAUGGACUUUUGAAGAAAGCCUUUGAAUUAUCAGUCCUUUGUGAUGCUGAAGUUGCCCUAAUCAUCUUCUCUCCUAGAGGCAAACUCUAUGAGUUCUCUAGCUCCUCCAGGUAUA